This 559-nucleotide ribosomal RNA is filed under the name Dothiorella sarmentorum. Its description in RNAcentral is "eukaryotic LSU rRNA". It matches the Rfam family "Eukaryotic large subunit ribosomal RNA", at positions 93 to 667 of the family's 3401-position model. The record is from RNAcentral. RNAcentral also lists the same sequence under 2 other names. Lineage: Eukaryota; Fungi; Ascomycota; Dothideomycetes; Botryosphaeriales; Botryosphaeriaceae.
GUGAAGCGGCAAUAGCUCAAAUUUGAAAGCUGGCCCCUUUGGGGUCCGCGUUGUAAUUUGUAGAGGAUGAUUCGGCGAGGGCUCCCGUCUAAGUCCCCUGGAACGGGGCGUCAUAGAGGGUGAGAAUCCCGUAUGUGAUGGGUUGCCUUAGCCAUGUGAAUCUCCUUCGACGAGUCGAGUUGUUUGGGAAUGCAGCUCUAAAUGGGAGGUAAAUUUCUUCUAAAGCUAAAUACCGGCCAGAGACCGAUAGCGCACAAGUAGAGUGAUCGAAAGAUGAAAAGCACUUUGGAAAGAGAGUUAAAAAGUACGUGAAAUUGUUGAAAGGGAAGCGCUUGCAGCCAGACUUGUCCGCAGUUGCUCAGCCGGUCUCCUGACCGGCGUACUCUUCUGCGGCCAGGCCAGCAUCAGUUCGGGCGGUCGGAUAAAGACCUCGGGAAUGUAGCUCCUCUCGGGGAGUGUUAUAGCCCGGGGUGGAAUGCGGCCAGCCUGGACUGAGGAUCUCGCUUCGGCUAGGAUGCUGGCGUAAUGGCUGUAAGCGGCCCGUCUUGAAACACGGACC